UAUGAAAAUUUAUCAUUACCUGGAAAUUCUUCCUGCAAGUUCAAUACCUUCAAAACUUCAUAUUUGUAUGCUUCUCUUAAACAGGGAAACAGAAUUCCCACUCAAAUGCUUUAGCAAGGACUGCUUCAGAACCAUAAUAAGAUGCCAUGAUAGUUGGUGAAGCGGGGGAAACAGGAUCUGACUUCGUCACCCAGGCUGGAGUGCAGUGGUGCAAUCUUGGCUCACUGCAGCCUCCGUCUCCCAGGCUCAAGUGAUCUUCCCACCUCAGCCUCCUGAGUAGCUGGUACUACAGGUGAGUAC
RNAcentral lists this long non-coding RNA (300 nucleotides) under Aotus nancymaae (Ma's night monkey). RNAcentral's name for it is "lncRNA (ENSANAG00000039247.1)". Lineage: Eukaryota; Metazoa; Chordata; Mammalia; Primates; Aotidae. The record is from RNAcentral.